ACCUUUUGCAUCAUGAUCUAGCCAGUAACUUCAAGCGAAGAGACCUCUAGUUUGAACCCCCGAAACCGGACGAGCUACUCCGGGGCAGCCUAUUGUAGGGCCAACCCGUCUCUGUGGCAAAAGAGUGGGAAGACCCCCGAGUAGAGGUGAAAGACCUACCGAGUCAGGUUAUAGCUGGUUGCCCAAGAAAUGAAUAGAAGUUCAGCCCCGUUGCGCCCUCACCCACAACAGUUUUACUCAAACAAGGCAUGAGGACACCCCCGGGAGUUAGUCAAGGGAGGUACAGCUCCCUUAACAAAGGACACAACCUUAGACAGGAGGCUAAGGAAUAUAUUAACCAAGGCCACAGGUUUCAGUGGGCCUAAAAGCAGCCACCUCAACAGAAAGCGUUAAAGCUCAGACCAAUCCAAGCCUAUUAUAACAUUAAAAUCUCCAAAGCCCCUAAUAUUAUUGGGCCGCCCUAUGCCACCAUAGGGGAGACCAUGCUAGAACGAGUAAUAAGAAGGAUAGACCUUCUCCCAGCACACGUGUAAGUCGAAUCGGACGACCCAUCGACAAUUAACGAACCCAAUAAAAGAGGGUAUUACAUCACUGCCAUCCCAGGCCAAGAAAACCAUGUAGUGAACCAUCGUUACCCCAACACAGGAGUGCUCUAGCCAGGGAAAGACUUAAAGAAUAAAAAGGAACUCGGCAAACUAGAACCUCGCCUGUUUACCAAAAACAUCGCCUCCUGCCACCACCAAUUAUAGGAGGUCCCGCCUGCCCUGUGACCAAGUGUUUAACGGCCGCGGUAUUUUAACCGUGCGAAGGUAGCGCAAUCAAUUGUCUUUUAAAUGGAGACCUGUAUGAAUGGCAUAACGAGGGUUCAACUGUCUCUUUUUUCCGGUCAAUGAAACUGAUCUGCCCGUGCAGAAGCGGGCAUAUCCACACAAGACGAGAAGACCCUAUGGAGCUUUAGACACUAACCAACCACGAAAAGCGACCCUAACUGGAGCCCCAAACAACGUGAUUCUGGCAUAAGUGUCUUCGGUUGGGGCGACCACGGGAGAUAGCACAGCUCCCGAGUGGAUGGGGGACACCCUAAAACCCAGAGCCACAGCUCUAAGUCACAAAACAUUUGACCAAUAAUGAUCCGGCUUAAUGCCGACCAACGGACCAAGUUACCCUAGGGAUAACAGCGCAAUCCUCUCCCAGAGUCCAUAUCGACGAGGGGGUUUACGACCUCGAUGUUGGAUCAGGACAUCCUAAUGGUGCAGCCGCUAUAA
This 1265-nucleotide ribosomal RNA is filed under the name Sardinops sagax (South American pilchard). RNAcentral describes it as "partial 16S ribosomal RNA". It matches the Rfam family "Bacterial large subunit ribosomal RNA", at positions 603 to 2567 of the family's 2925-position model. Lineage: Eukaryota; Metazoa; Chordata; Actinopteri; Clupeiformes; Clupeidae. The record is from RNAcentral.